CACGUAGGGCGCGAGCGUUGUCCGGAAUUAUUGGGCGUAAAGAGCUCGUAGGCGGCCUGUUGCGUCCGCUGUGAAAGCCCGGGGCUUAACCCCGGGUCUGCAGUGGAUACGGGCAGACUAGAGGUAGGUAGGGGAGAAUGGAAUUCCCGGUGUAGCGGUGAAAUGCGCAGAUAUCGGGAGGAACACCGGUGGCGAAGGCGGUUCUCUGGGCCUUACCUGACGCUGAGGAGCGAAAGCGUGGGGAGCGAACAGG
This 253-nucleotide ribosomal RNA is filed under the name uncultured bacterium. RNAcentral's name for it is "partial 16S ribosomal RNA". It matches the Rfam family "Bacterial small subunit ribosomal RNA", at positions 524 to 776 of the family's 1533-position model. The record is from RNAcentral.